CUAUGCGGCUGCUGUCACUGUAGAAGUAAAAAGGGUGUGUCAGGGUCAGGGUGUGUUAGUAAAAAAAAACGUAAACAGUGCUGUUGGCUGAUCAAUUUUGGUAAGUUUUUUAAUAAUUAAGUUCUUAAUUUUACGUAAGUAAGUGCCAUUUUAGCUAAAGUAAGUGGUAGAAGUCCUCCCCAAUGCGUGCUGGAUCCAUCAAAAGCGGUACACGCAUGUACCAGCGUAGGAAGGUGAUGUGAUGAACAACACAGCAUACGGCAGCGGAUGUAAUGCAGAAACGAUAUGGGCCUGCCGCAGCUGUUUUCCAUUGUACGUUGCAUUGUAUAUGAUUCGGUAUGUUCGCCAAUUUUCCUCUAUCCUGGAACGUGGGUUUCGAGAAACCAUCUAAGAACAUCCUCCGGAAGCUGUACGACGACGAGGCGAGCUCUACCAACACAACACGCUAGAAGCCCAACUGGCACCGGGUGCCCCGAUUGCGCCGCCGGACGGUGUCGAGCGCGCUCGUUCACAACGUUCGGGGCAGGAAUUCAACCUUUCGGAUCAUUAUCCUCUGCCUCACAAUAGCUGCAGCAGCAACAGGACCGAACCGACCGCACAACUGAUUGCAGUCAAAUUUCCUGGCAGGAGAAAAAAAUCCCACAAGUGUAUCGAACAGGCUAAUGACGGACCCCGAAAAGGCGACAAACAUUCAUCCCCAGCGGCCUAAGAUGUUCUUAGUGUUCAGUGGUGUGCGCGACCGUCAAAGUGUUAAAAAUUUUAAUUAACAAGAUAACACUAUUAUGGUGAUGUCGUGUAGAUGUGCGCAAGUGGAUUAAGAUAACACUUAAGUACGCUUUACGACAUAAAAAAAUGCAAAAUGCGCGUGUGUCUGAAGGGGCGGGAUAGCCGCUAACCAAACUAAGCGGCCGCGUGGGGCCCCGUGGUCUUUAGGGGCUUCAAAAAAUGGAACCCACCCCCGCUCGUAAGUAAAAUUGCUACCCAAUCCUUCUCUAGUUUAAAACAUUUCCCUGCUUCAACCAAACAAUUUGUGUGACUGCUUAGGGCCUCCACUCGUAUGUGCGGUUUUUACAUAACAUUUAAGAUAAAUAAAUCUAGUUUAUA
This is a long non-coding RNA of Anopheles merus, 1104 nucleotides long. RefSeq lists it as uncharacterized. Lineage: Eukaryota; Metazoa; Arthropoda; Insecta; Diptera; Culicidae. The record is from RefSeq and is a predicted model, not a curated record. The transcript is spliced from 4 exons.